GNGGCGAAGAAGGUCUUCGGAUUGUAAAGCUCUGUUGCCGGGGAAAAAGGAAGGAAAGAGGAAAUGCUUUUCUUUGGAUGGUACCCGGCCAGAAAGUCACGGCUAACUACGUGCC
RNAcentral lists this ribosomal RNA (115 nucleotides) under uncultured bacterium. RNAcentral's name for it is "partial 16S ribosomal RNA". It matches the Rfam family "Bacterial small subunit ribosomal RNA", at positions 403 to 509 of the family's 1533-position model. The record is from RNAcentral.